Molecule: ribosomal RNA, 289 nt
Filed under: uncultured bacterium
Lineage: Bacteria
Description: partial 16S ribosomal RNA
Rfam family: Bacterial small subunit ribosomal RNA
Source: RNAcentral
AUUGAACGCUGGCGGCAUGCCUUACACAUGCAAGUCGAACGGCAGCACGGGAGCAAUCCUGGGUGGCGAGUGGCGAACGGGUGAGUAAUACAUCGGAACGUGCCCAGUAGUGGGGGAUAACCCGGCGAAAGCCGGACUAAUACCGCAUACGACCUACGGGUGAAAGCAGGGGAUCGCAAGACCUUGCGCUAUCGGAGCGGCCGAUGUCAGAUUAGCUUGUUGGCGGGAAAANCCCACCAAGGCGACGAUCUGUAGCUGGUCUGAGAGGACGACCAGCCACACUGGGACU